UUACAGGUAAACUGUGCAGAUAGUUAUUUUUUUAAUCUAUAUUUAAUGCUCCAUGCAUGUGCCGCAAGAUUAGAUGUGACGGGGAAUCUGAAAAAUUUUGCAAAACUUUUUGGGAACUUAGUAUAUCUGAGUCCAGCAAGAAGCAGGGAGUAUGAUUUUCUCCGUUCACACUGGAUUAGUUUGUGUACAACUCAAGUCAGACUUGAAGUUUCUCUGUUGUCUUCACUCUUCAGUAUAUGCAUGUCUUGAUAUCUCAACUGUUUCUAUAAUUAAAGUCUGCAAGGAAAUGAUAUGCUCAAACUGUUGAUUUUGCAUAGUUUCUCAGUAUCUCUUGUAUCUGAGGUCAAUAGCUAACGUCCUUUCACUCCUUUGUAAUCCUUACAAGUUAUAUGAGUUGGACCAACUACAGUAUUACAAUUACAAUACCAGAUUUACCACUAACCUUUGUAGUCACACUUGUUGACUUGGUGUUGAUUGACUAAGCACUAUGGAGGUCAGGCCUUAAGUUGCAUAUUUAUAUAACUAAUAUAUCAGUAGAAGCUUUAUACAGCUGUCAUGACAAACUAAACAGUUUAUUUCCCCUGAUAGUAGUUCCAUAGGACAUAAAUUUGUUUCUUUGUAUUGUUUGAGUGCACAUGUGCAAAUGACAGAUCUACACUACUAUCUUGUUGUUUACUUAGUAUGCAAUUAUCUGUUUCUGCAAACUGUUGUGCUUGUUUGGUCUUUCAUAACCUUUAACACUAAGAUUACACCAAAAUCAUUUGAAAUCAUCUCUUGCUUGCUGGUACAAUAUAAACUAGUCCUGGCCGGUGUGAGCUACUGGCUGGACUUCAGUGACUUAGUUUGGACUUGUUUUGAAAUGGUUGGUUACCAAUACCACUGGGUUUUUCUUUUUUUCCCCUUGUAAUACGCCUUAUGCACUUUGAAGAUUAUACAGUAAGGACAUGUUUGGAUUGCGCCCUCCCAGGCAGCAUGAGCACCAGGCAGCCUUCUCAGCCUCAGGCGUCCAAAAUCAGAUGCCUGGGAGCUAGUGCAGUGCUAGGCAAAGCUUCCUGGUACACAAUUAAACAGCCCCUAACUGUCGGUCCUAAUGGCUAAAUAACAUUUUUUGGAUGGUUGGUCACUUAUUUGUAGUUCAUAUAGUAGAUUGUUGCUAAUGCAAUCUGUCAUGUGAAGAUUGACGCUGUCAUUCCACUACCUGCUGUGAUAAAUUGAAGGUUCAGCCUGCAUAUUGAAAAGUUUAAUUUGUUGAGCAAUCCAUGGUUACUCAACCCUGCUUAUCAUGCUGGCUGGAUCUGAUUGUUGUGCCAACUGGCAACUGAGCCAAUAAAGCCAUCGGACUUUUGGUGUGAUGUGGUGUCCUUUAUUUUUGUUACCAUUGUUACCACUGUAUGGUGGAUUUCUUAUAUGAUGAGAACUUGCCUUAUUAAUGUGAAGGUUUGAAAAAUCAAUUGUUCACAGUAUAUUUGAUCUAGAGCACUAUGGGAUUCAAAACUGUCAUGCAAGUAAUUUACUUGUUUGUGGUCACUUCUCCUUUUCAGGAAGAGCAAAGGCAAGGAAGCUUCUUAUGGGAUCAUGCAGGUGGGCAUGCUCGUGCUUUAGUUCAUCUUUACUUUAUUCACGCAUCUCACCUCAAUUAUAGCUACUCUGCAAUAUUGAAUUGCUUCCAAACAGAAUUGUAAGAUUCGUUGUCUUAGUUUGUUCUCUGGAGGCAUGAGGGGCAGAUCAAUAUUAAAGUUCUUGAACCUGUUGCUACUGUUGAAAUGCUAUUACAAAGUCUGAAAAGCAUCCACUGCUGAAGUUUCCUUUGUGAAUAUUGUAGUUGGCUGUCUCCACAACCUAAUGAUCUAUUGUAGGCUUUUGGACUUCUUCCAUUGGGGAACUUAAAGUUUCAUCCUCCACUUUUUACUCACAUAAAGUUAAACCAAAGUCGGUGAACAUAUAGCGUACAACAAGGAUUCAUCUAUGGUUUUAUUAACUGACAAAAAGGCUGGUUACUUUGAACCAUGAAUAUAUGUUUAUUAGGUUGGAACUUUGGAUGAGGAGUGAUUUCUUCACGAUGGGUUUUUUUUUACAAGAUUCACGAUGGGUUAUGCUUGAUCAAAUGAAUAAGGUAAGUAUGCUGAAACUGCAAGUUAAGCAUUCUUUUAUGUUUCGUUCUUAGUUUUAAUUGAGCUUCUUUAGAAUUCCGUUUCAUCAAAAUAUAAUAAUAUUUUGAGUUGUGAUAAUGACUAACCGGAACUAAGUCCGCAUCAAGAUCAUUAUAUUUUUAAAAUUUUCAGAAAUGACAGGACUUCAGUGAUAACUUUUACAGUUAAGGUCCCCAUACUGCUUAAACUCCCCACAUUUCGAAGUACCACUAAUAUACAAAGCAUCACCCAAAUACCAAAGCUCUGAAUCAAAAGACUGGCAUGUCUGUUGAGGUGAAUGUCGCAUUCCAGAGAGAAUCUCAUCACCUCCCCCAAUGGUUCUCUGCCCGCUUGUUCAUCUCCCAGGGGCCAAGUUUUCUUGGUAGUUGCAAGUAGCAUUUCACUGUGCUUCACAACUGCAGGUCAAAAAGCGUGGUGCCCCUGCUCAGACCUUGCCGUCACAGAGCCUCCUCUUUGUUGGAGAGGUUACUCGGCACGGUACAGCUGCUGCUGCACUAUCCAUCCGGAUCUUGCAUUGAGUUGACCAUCAUCACUGCUGCAGGCGUGCGUGCCGCACGCUCCCUGCAAGUGUAUGAAAUAUUAUACGCACAUCAACCAUUCCACCCAUCCAAGGAGGAAUAAACAAGCCAUUUGUCUGCUAAUUUCCCUUCCCGAGAAUCUACACGAUUCUUUAUGCAGGGACCAAUGCGUUCAUGAAGGGAGCCACAACCAUUAUGAUGGGCAUUCAUUUUCAACCACCUUUACCAGCAUACACUUUCAUCAUGGAAUUUGAUCAUGGCUGGAAUCUUUGGUUUCAGCAGGCUCAUAACUUGGUUUCAAGGAAAAUGCUCCCAUGGAAUUCUCUUUAUCUCCAGGUUUACAGGUUUGCAAGCUUCCUCCUCUUUGGUGAUUGAAACUGUUCCAAUAUGUAAUUCUCCUAGUAAUAUUUCAACCUUAAACACUACCCUGAGAAUUUGUGCUGCCUAAACUAAGGUGGUGCCAGGACUUCAAAGCUCUGGAGUCCUUUGUGCUUAAUUAACUAAUGUUUAAUUUCUAUUCACAUGGCACGCUUUUACCAAGUCCAGUCCAAUGCCGACAAAUUUUGCCAGGAAUGCGUCACCCCCAAUGUUGACUGCUAACAGUUGUUCACCCCCUCCACUGUUAGUCUAGGUCGUGGGCAGCACUAAUAACAUGGCACAGCAUACAAGUCCAAAGCCACAAACACCCAGAUAUACAAUAUACAAAUUAUAACAAGCCAGUCAGGGCAAAGCACUAGGCAGUAAAAGCCUAAAAGGUAUUACAUUACACUGUUUGAUAACCCUCUCAAGUUGCCCCUACUUUCAACAACACAUCUAAGUCAACACCAUGAUUCACUCUUGAUACAGGCGAAACCAUAAGAGCAGUAAAAUAAUUAAAGGAAACAAAAAAGAAACAAAAAAAA
Sorghum bicolor (sorghum) is the source of this 3570-nucleotide long non-coding RNA. RefSeq lists it as uncharacterized. The record is from RefSeq and is a predicted model, not a curated record. NCBI's taxonomy places the organism in Eukaryota, Viridiplantae, Streptophyta, Magnoliopsida, Poales, Poaceae. The transcript is spliced from 3 exons.